GACAAUUGCACGCAGAAUGAUGCCCCAUCGUUGCCCCAUUUACUCGACCAACUUGCUUCCUCUGAGAAUGACCCUUCUCUCCUUUCUUCUUCCUUCUCUCAUCUUCAUCUCCCCUAUAUAAUAUAACACCUUCUUCUUCUCCCUUCCAUACCCAUAUAUCUCAAUUCAUUCCAAUUGUACCAACUACUACUGUUAAUUUCCCCUGCUAAAUUCCAUAUCUCUCAAAGUACAACAAAGACUACGUACUCUAUAAUUUGUUAUAACCGUCCAUUAUGAAGAUGAUGGUUGGGUCGUCAAAGAGAUCAAGGAUGAUAUCCUCAACACCAUCAAGCAAAGGGCUUGGAGGUGCCCUCAGAGAACAAAAGGCCAGGCUUUACAUCAUCAGGAGAUGUGUCGUUAUGCUCCUCUGCUGGCAUGAUUGAUCAUUAGUUCUUCCUCUUCUUCAACCUUUUUCAUUUUAAUUCAGGAAGAUAUAUAGUCUUGGGGGGUUUUUGUUCCUUAGCUUGUUUUCCCCCUUCAAUUUCCUAUUUGUAAAUAGUCGAUAUAAUUAGUUAAGAAGGAAGUGGUUUUGGCUGUAUAAGCUCUCUGCAUUUUCGGAUACGACAAUCAAAAGUUUCAAUUUUUCUCAAUUUUUGCAUUAUAUUGUUACGUUGUAAAGAUUCAUGGGUUGUAAAAAAAAAUUAUGAACAUAAAGUAUCUAUGAUAAAAGAGUGUACCAAGCAUGAUACAUCAUUUCGAACGAUCCUAGAAUAGUAUUGGUGUGCAAUUUUAUCUUUAUUAGUAAAAAUUAAAUUUUAUGGUAUCAAUCUAAUUACAGCUACCUAUAUAC
RNAcentral lists this long non-coding RNA (829 nucleotides) under Linum usitatissimum (flax). RNAcentral's name for it is "long non-coding RNA (LUSI_LNC003931)". Lineage: Eukaryota; Viridiplantae; Streptophyta; Magnoliopsida; Malpighiales; Linaceae. The record is from RNAcentral.